GACAAAAUCCAGAGUGGGGUCCUGGCGUGGGGUGAGCGGGGCGGGGGGGAGACUCCCUCGGAAGGGACCCCGGGAAGGAGCAGCCCCCUCCCUGUCCCUCAGCUGCCUGGAAGGAAGGGGCAUCUGGCCACAUCCCUCAUUUGUUCUGCAGAAACAGAAAGUGCCCAGGCGGGGAAGAACACUCGUGAGGGGCAGGAUGUGGGCCGCCGGGGCCACCAAGCCAGAGGCUGCAGACGGCAGGGGACAGCUCCCGAGGCUGGCAAGCCCACGGCGUGGCUGGGAGACCCAUCCUUGCUUCAUAGCUGGACAGUUUGGAUUGUCCUCCCCUGGUGGCAGGGAGAGGGGAGCAGCCUGGGGCCUAACAGGGCCACUGGUUUCAUUCACAAGGAACUGUCAACCUGGUCACCGCCCAGAGUAACACCAUCACACAGAGGACAAUCCUUCACCCUUCAGCAGGUGGCUCGUCAGAGACCUGAGUGCCCAAUGCACGCGGUCCGCUGUCCGACCUUAUUCGGCAAGACUAGAAGUAACUGCGCUGGACAUUGUGGAUCCUCAUUUCUUGCUGGAUGUUGUGGAUCCUCAUUUCUUGCCACUGACGCUUGCUUCUCAGGAUGCCUGAGGGGCCCUCACACUGCCGGGUCACGGAAUCCCAGGGCACUUUCCAAGCUGUCCUAGUAUGCUUGUUCCCCUGCUCGCUGCCUCCCUCUGUGACCCUCGUACACACGCAUCCAUCACACGCCCAUGCGCGAAUUCUCGUCCAUCACAGUGCAGAUCAUGGCCUUCCUUCCAUGCUACCCUUUCUUCGUGUCCUAGUGACUGGGACUCCCACAAAACCCUUCUCCUCUACUCCGUCUUCUGUAAGAACAACCAAGCCAACCCCCAACCCCCGUCGGUCCAUUCUUUUCGAUUUGUUCUUCCUGCCCUGGGUCUGAUGACAUCCAGCACCCAGAGGGUCUCCAGAGCCUGAGCUUGGGUCUCUUGCCAGGUUCCUCAUUCAUCCCUGCAUGCCCCUGUCACGUGCCGUGCCCUGCGGUGGCCUCGCAGAGCACCCCUGCACCUCUUCAGGCCAGACGGUGGCUCGUCCACCAGAUGCAGGGCUUCUAGUCCCCUUGGAACGUGUUGCCGAGCUCUGUGUGCAGCCCUGGUUAGCACCUCAACCUUAACAGGCCCAGCGGCCAGCACCACUGGGGCCCCCUUCCUGAUCUCUCUCCACAGCUCUUUUGCCACCUACCGUCCUUAGCCUUUCCUUGUCCCCCCUCACUAGUCCCAGUGGGGUGGAGGCAAGGAAUUUGAUCCGCUGGCCAUUCCUAGGUGUCUGUGGCCGGCUGGCCGUUUAUCUACCAGAAAUCUAUCUUUUACUGCUCUGGCCCGAGCACCAGGCACCCGGUAGGCACUCGAGGUCUCUUCAGUGACACGUGGAUGACCGGAUGGAUGUUGCCAAUGGCACACAGACUUGCUCAGACUCCUCCCCAUGUUUUAUUUUUUUCCCCACCUACAUCUCUGUCCUGGUGGUCGUCCUCCUUCUGGCCCCUCAUUCUUCCAUGUGAUGGGAGCCCUCUACAAGAUGCUCCUCUCUCUCGGAUGUGUCACCUGAGCCGCACAGUGAGAGCACACGAGAGGAGCACACAGGGAAGGUCCCCAAGCCCCCGGGCCAGUGGACAGUGACACCCGUCUGGCAGGAGGCCGUAACGACUACGGACCUGUGUCCAUGGAGCCGCCAGCAGGCCUGCCAGGCACUGCCAUCCGGAGACAUGUGGAAUCGGGGCUCUGGGUUCAAGUCCCAGGUCUGCCCUUUACCUGCUGCGGUCCUUCACUUCCCAGGGCCCAGCAUUGUCAGCGUAAAGCGAGUCCACUGGAACUGGUUCUGGAGGCGUCCUAGGAACUGAGUGAGAUGAUGGUGUGUGGCCCGGGGAGCGGUAUCUAGGAAGCACUAGCUCCGUCACUGUCAUCACCGAGAGGAAACUGGAAGUCAGAGAAGGGAAGGCCAGGGCUGGGGCCGUGGGGUCCGCAUGGGCCUCGGAGCGCCCCCCCCCCCACCCACUGCAUCCCUUCUGGAAGGCGCUGCGGGCCUGUGCCUGGGGUGGGAGCGGGAAUCCUGUCCCUACGUGGGAUUGGGGUGAAAAGGAAGGUGGGGGCAGGUGGAGGAAGGGAGCUGGGAGUGCAGCAGGAGCAGAGAGAGGGGGAGGACCUGCAGGGGGAAUAGAGCCAGAGGACGGGUGGGACAGGGUUGGGCGGGCUGAGCACUGUGCGGUGAGCAGAGGCCGAGGCCGGGUUCCUCUCCCUGGCCGGACACAGGAGCAGUGUGGUCAUGGUCUGGGUGUGGCUCUGACACAAAUAAAAGGGAAGAAGAAGGGGAAAUGUGUCAUAUUUCCUUUGGCUGAAAUAUGAGCCCGGGUUCCUACUGUUCAGAGGGGGCGGGGGCAGCGCCCGGGUUCGAGGCCCCAGGCCAGCCUCCCACGCAGGCUGAUUUGACUUACUCAAUUCUGCACGUAAACAAUAGCAGCUUCACCGGCAGAAACACUAGGACACCACGAGGCUGCCCGCCACCCCCCCCCCACCCCGUAGGGUCAAAAUCAUGGGCCCCUAGAGCCCCAUGACACCGAGAGGGGGCCUGUCUCAGUGGCUCUGUUGAUGUUCAUUUGCUUUCUGCUCAUUUGUUUUGCCAGGUACCAGCCCUCGCAAGCAGGUGAUCCAGCUGCAGGCAGGGCUGGAAAAUAAUUCAGAGGGAGACACGGUUCUUCUCCCUGAGUCCAUGCCUGCACCUCGGACCCCUCCCAUCUGGUCCUUGUGGUGGGGCUCCCCUGCUAGUCUAGUUGGCGGGAGGCCGAGGUUGGGGUUCACAGGACCCGAUGCACAGUCUGGAGGCAAGUAGUCCUGGAGACUAGGGCUGCUCAUGGUCCUCCUGCCCGGCCGGCCCUCUCCCCGACUCCCCAGGGAGAGUCACACCCCCCUUCCUACUGAGGAGGCCGGGGGUCCCACCUUCUGACCCCAUUAAUGGCACCUUCUGGAUGGUUCCCUCUGCUGUAGGCCUUCUGGAAUCUGGCAAUCGGGGCAAACCAGGGGCCUGGCUUCACCGAGCCUGCCUUCUCGUUGGGGAGACCAACGCCAAUGGUAUACUUUUAAAAAGAUAAUUGUGAUUUUUAAAAACGAUGUGGGAAGGAAAUAAACAGGAUGAAGUAAAGGAGAGAAGGUGACAGGAGGAAGCCAUUCGUCUCCCUCAGUGGAUCAGGGAAGGCCUGCACGUGGAGGAGACGUUGGGUUUGAGGCCUGAGGGGUGAGAAAGAGCCACCCUGAGUGGGGCCAGGGGCAGAGCCUUCCAGGAAGAGAUAGCAGUUGUCAUAAACACGCGGUUGGGAGAGGAGCUGAUUUCCAGGGCCGGGGUGGCUACAGCCCCAUGACUGAGAUGAGGCCUGGCGGGUGAGUGGACCCAGGUCACUUAGGGCCUUGUAGGUCAGGGUGAGAGGUGCGGAAUAUAAUCUUCUGAGUGUCCCGUUAACGCCUGUCCCUGUGCACACAGGGAGCUGGGCUCCCAGGCAGCAGGCUGAGGGCACAGGCGGGGCAGAGGCCCGGGGUGACCUCACUCCCAUGCUGCCAACUAACCCUGCGGGAAGCACCAAGGCCUCCCUGAAUGGAGGUAGCUGCACCCGAGAGGAGGAGGAGGUAGAGAGGAACAGUCACUAAGACCUAGAUCUUAAAUUUUGCAAGAGGUUUGUAGACAGUUGGCUGGAGAGAUGAUCCAGGUUCCCAGGAACCUGACCUCUAUCCUCACACAGGAGCACAUGGUUGCUCCGUGGCGAGUUUGUAAUGCAUCCAAAAGGGCUCCAAGAUGCACCCAAGUAACUCCCAAGAAAGCAAAUCCUGCCAAAUGGAGUCAUGAUGCUGUGCGGCCUCCCCCUCCCCUCCAGCCUUCGGGGCCAGUAUUUGGGAAGCUCAGGAAACGUCAGUCUCAGGGCUGGCAUGGGCUGUUCCUUCCCGCCCUCUGCCCGGUUAGCACCCCCACCCCCCUACUGCUGCCACCCACACGGAAGGUGGCUCUCCUCACAAAAACGCUGGGCAUCUCGGGAUCACCUCCCAAAGUCUGUUGAAGUCUAGGUUUGGGCUGAAAAAACGAAUCCCCUGUGGACUGCCACCACAGGCGGGGCUGCAUGGGGCCCGGCCCAAGGCCUGGUUCCCUGCCUGCACAGCACCCGUCAAGCUCAGUUGCUAAAGAGAACGUGCUGUCCAUGUAUUCAACGAUUAAAUUUGCAGGUAUUUGUCACACUUAUUAAAUCAUUUGAAAAUAUACCAUUCUGAGGCCGACAGCAGGCCAGAGUCACUGAACUAAAGUAAUACAGAUCCCAGGUAGAUUCCUAGAAAAGAUGGGGGAAACUGGGCCCAAACCUCCAGAAUGGUAGUAAUCCGCCCCCCGACCCGGGGUACGAGGAUGGACAGCUCAAGAGUAGAGGAUCUCAGAAAAGCCACACAUAGUUCAUAACUAUGCUAACUUCAUAGUUAAUAUGUGAUAAAAGUGGCAGUCUAGUCCAGUGGAAGGUUUUCCAUUAACCCGUGCGAAAGCGAUGAGCUAACUGAAAACAAAACUAGUUUAAGUCCUCAUCUCACGCCACACACCAAAGUAAAUUUCAUGUGAAUCCAAGCGUGAAAUGUGAACUGAGGACAGAAAGGAAAGAUCUGGAAAAAAAUCAAGAUCUGACUUGCAAACGGGAAAGAGCACUUUGAACUUAAGAGCAAACUGAAGUCACAAAAAAGUCGUACAGAUUUAACUGCUUAGGAAGAUACAUUUCCAUACAGCAAAGGCAAUAUAAUAAAGUUACAAGUCGGUGAGUGUGGCAAAUAUCUGCAGUAAACAUGAAAUGAUCCAUAUUACUAAUACACCUGCUGUUCAUACAAACAGAUAAGGAAAACAUUAACCCCCAUAGAAAAGGACAAAGAUGUGAAGACGUUCCAGAAGAGGUCCGCCAAAGUAGGUACCUUUUAUCAGAUGUGUGGGAGCUUCCCUCCACCGAGCGAUUCUCUGUGACACUAGCUGGUGUCCUAUUUACCUGAAUUCUGACACUAUCCACUCGAAGAGAGUGCCAGGUCCCAAGGGCAAAGGGCUUAGUCCCAAGAGAGCCACCUCCCCACCUCCAGAGGAGGCUUCAUGACCUGGCUCGAAGGAUGACAUCACUGGGUGUGGGUGACUAAAUGUCCAGCCAGCCUGCCUCCCCACGGGUUGUGGGGUGAGGCUCUAGGAAGUUCCCCUCUAAUCCCAAGGUGGCCUCCCCUGGUGACCAAACCCCAUCUGCAGGGACUUGUCAAAAUUCAGUUCAUCAACCUAAAUCCAGAUCUGGUUGAAAGGAGUUUGUUACGACUAAAGACACUGUUGUCUAUUAUCACUUAGGAAAUUCCAAGGGUUUGGGGAGCUCCGUGCCAAGAGGAGAAAGGCCAAAUACAUCACCUUCUUGCACAAAUCACUAGAUCUCAUGAGCUAACAUGAAAAAAGUCUAUACCUUUGGUAAUAUAAGCAAAGAUAUGCCAAGUCAAAUAACCUCUGAGUUUUCCUAUCAAACUGCAGGUGAAAGUGGCUGACAGCGAGCGUGUGGGAAGCGGCGUGUUCCUAUGGUCACGGUCACGGGGGGGGGGGGGGGGAGGUGGUGGCACAAGUGGUGGUCAAACACUCGUGCAAGCUUUCCAGGCGGCCACCUGACCAUACGCACAGAAGCCCCUCAACAUCGUCCUAUCUUGUUGGCCUACUCCUUCCACUUAGGAGUUCACGGAGAUGCAAUCCGUGAGUUAUGUACAGGAAUGCGCAGCACAGAAUUCGGCAAAAGGUGUGAAGGAACUUGAGUGCCUGCCACCGGACGGCAACUACGGCAGGUCAAGGCGACGGGAGUCUUGCAGACUCGAGGAAGGCCGGGCUAGAACCGCCCUAGGUGGCAGGACUGGAGAAAGAGCCGAAGGAAGCAUAGUCAAGCCUCGGCGGGAGGCCGUGACACCCAUCCCCGGGGUGGCACCACGGACAGUUGUUCUCUUUCUGCGUGAGAAAUAGUUCCAGAAUCACGUGUUUCUGUAAAAGUGAAACGCAGCAAAGAGCCUUCACGACGAGUGGAGCUCUGCUGCAGUGGAGUCCAAGCGCUCUUGGUGAGGUGACUCAUCGACCCAGGCUCCUUCUGUCACAUGCUGCCAUCGUCAGCACAGAGUCAUCUUAAGACCUGUGGUUACCUCUUUGGAGGAAGCAUAUUGUUCUCUCAGCUGAAUUUGCUAUCCUGUUUCCCUCUACAGAAUCUCACUGUCCUAGUAUCUCUCCAGCAGACUGAGGCCCAGAGCCGCUCUUAUCCAUCACCCAGGAUGCUGCCAUGAGCAAUUUUCUCCACACAGCCUUUAGCUCUAGGAGGAACAAUCAGCAGAGACCGGUGGGGGGAGUUUGGCCCACCUGUUAUUGUGGAGAAUAGAGGCACUUGCCAGGCUUAAAGAUGAGGGGGUGAAGAUGGCCAAUGUUUAGUCAAGUGAUAAUUGUUUAUAAUUUAUUUGAAACCAGGAAACAGGCUCUUGACUAUAGAGAACAAGCUGAGGUUGCUGAUGGGGAGGUGGGGCGUGGGUUAAAUAGGUGAUGGCCAUUAAGGAGGGCACUUGUGAUGAGCACUGGGUGUUUUUUUUUUUAAAAUAUAAAUUUAUUUUUUAUUGGUGUUCAAUUUGCCAGCAUAUAGAAUAACACCCAGGGCUCAUCCCGCCAAGUGCCCCCCUCAGCGCCCGUCACCCAGUCACCCCAUCCCCCCACCCACCUCCCCUUCUGCUACCCCUUGUUCGUUUCCCAGAGUUAGGGGUCUCUCAUGGUUUGUUUCAUCUUAGAAAGCCCUUUGCCUGAGCUAGAUUGGUGACAACUUCAGGACCCCAGCUCCUCCAGACAUCAUUGCUGCCCUGUAUGGGGACUCAAAGAUGAUAUAGAAUCUGAGUCAUGUUUGCCAAGAGGAUGGUGUCACAGUAGAUACUCAGCCCUCCUCUUUCAUAGUGGCCUCGAUUUUUUAAAGAAUUUUUUAAAAAAGAUUUUAUUUAUUUAUUCAUGAGAGACACAGAGAGAGGCAGAGACACAGGCAGAGGGAGACUCAGGCUCCCUGCAGGGAACCCCAUGUGGGACUCGAUACCUGAACCCCGGGAUCACGCCCUAAGCCGAAGGCAGACACUGAACUGCUGAGGCACCCAGGUGUCCCUAAAGGAUUUUUUUUUUUUUUACCUAGAAUUUCAGGUUGUCAGUUUCCUUUCAGUUUGCAAUUCCAUUUUCCUCUGGUUUCAAUAGUUUCUGUAAAGAAAUCAGAUCCAAUUCUUACAGUUUUUCACUUGUAUGAAAUGUAGCUUCCCCCCACCCUCUAGCUGCUGUUACAAUUUUUCUUUUAUCUUUGGUUUUUACCAGCUUGACUAUGAUGUGUUUAGGUAUGGUUUUCUUUGUAUUUAUCCUGCUUAAACUCUGCUGAGCUUCACUUCAGCAGAUUUCUUCAAAUAUUGCUUAUCUCAUUCUCUUUACUCUUCUCCUUCUGGAACUGUUACACAUUAAGAGUUAGAGACUCCCUAUCCUGAGUGUCUCUUACCCUCUAUUCUGGCCUUUUUUUUUUUUUAAGUUUCUAAGUUUUAUUCUAGAUAGCUUCUGCUGACCAGUCUUAAAACUUAUUUGGUCUUCUGUUCUUUCUAGCCUGUUGUUAAACCUAUGUAAUGAAUGAUUAAUUUCAGAUAUAGUAUGUCAAUUUGAUUCUUUCUUAAAGCCUAAUUCUCAUUGGAAGAACAAAAUUGUUAAAAUGUCUUUGCUACCUAGAGCAAUCUAUAUGUUCAAUCCCUAUCAAAAUACCAUCAACUUAUUUCACAGAGUUGGAACAAAUAAUCCUAAAAUUUGUAUGGAACCAGAAAAGACCCUGAAUAACCAAAGGAAUGUUGAAAAAGAAAACCAAAACCAGUGGCAUCACAAUUCCAGACUUCGAGCUCUAUAAUCAUCAAGACAAUGUGGUACUGGCACAAAAACAGACACAUAGAUCAAUAUAGAACCCAGAAAUGGAUCCUCAGCUCUAUGGCCAAGUAAUCUCUGACAAAGCAGGAAAGACUAUCCUAAAAAAGUCUCUUCAAUAAACAGUGUUGGGAAAAUUGGACAGCCACACGCAGAAGAGUGAAACCAUACUAUUUCCUCACACCAUACACAAAAAUAGACUCAACAUGGAUGAAAGACCUAUAUGUGAGAUAGGAAUCCAUCAAAAUCCUAGAGGAGAACUCAGGCAGCAACCUUUAUGCCCUGACUACAGCAACUUCUUGCUGUAAGUAAGUAAUUUGUAUUACUAGCAACUUCUGCUAGACACAUCUCCAAAAGCAAGGGAAACAAAGGCAAAAAUGAACUAUUGGGACUUCAUCAACAUAAGCAGCUUUUCAACAGCAAUGGCAACAGUUGACGAAACAAAGUCAACCGACAGAAUGGGAGAAGAUAUUUGCAAAUGACUUAUCAGACUCAAUCACCAAAGAAUAAUCCAAUCAAGAAAUGGGCAGAAGACAUGAAUAGCCAUUUCUCCAAAGAAGACAUACUAACGGACAACAGACACAUGAAAAAAUGCUCAACAUCACUCGGCAUCAAGGAAAUAUAAAUCAAAACCAUGAUGAGAUACCACCUCACACCUGUCAGAAUGGCUAAAUUAACAAGCCAGGAAAUGACAGAUGUUGGUGAGGAUGCAGAGAAAAGGGAACCCUCAUACACUAUUGGUGGCAAUGCACGCUGGUGCAGCCACUCCAAAAAACAGUAUGGAGAUUCCUCAAAAAGUUGAAAAUAGAACUACCUUAUGAUUCAGCAAUUGCACUACUAGGUAUUUACCACAAAGAUACACAUUUAGUCAUCCAAAGGGGCACCUGCAUCCCAAUGUUUAUAGCAGCAAUGUCCACAAUAGCCAACUAUGUAAAGAGCCCAAACGUCCAUUGACAGAUGAAUGGAUAAAGAUUUGGUAUAGAAAUACAAUGGAAUACUAUUAGCCAUCAAAAAAAAGAAAAAGAAAUCCUGUCAUUUGCAAUGAUGUGACAGGAACUAGAGGAUAUUAUGCUAAGCAAAAUAAAUCAAUCAGAGAAAGACAAUUAUCAUAUGAUCUCAUUUAUAUGUGGAACUAGGAAACAGGAUCAUAGAGGAAGAGAGGAAAAAAUAAGACAAAAUCAGAGAGGGAGACAAACCAUAAGAGACUCUUAAUCAUAGGAAACAAACUCAGUGUUGCUGGAGGGGAGGGUGGGAGGACAAGGUACUGGGUGAGGGGCAUUAAGCCUUAGGGCACAUGAUGUAAUGAGCA
Molecule: long non-coding RNA, 9275 nt
Organism: Nyctereutes procyonoides (raccoon dog)
Lineage: Eukaryota; Metazoa; Chordata; Mammalia; Carnivora; Canidae
Exons: 4
Source: RefSeq, a predicted model, not a curated record